RNAcentral lists this ribosomal RNA (253 nucleotides) under uncultured bacterium. RNAcentral's name for it is "partial 16S ribosomal RNA". It matches the Rfam family "Bacterial small subunit ribosomal RNA", at positions 524 to 776 of the family's 1533-position model. The record is from RNAcentral.
UACGAAGGGGGCUAGCGUUGUUCGGAUUUACUGGGCGUAAAGCGCACGUAGGCGGACUUUUAAGUCAGGGGUGAAAUCCCGGGGCUCAACCCCGGAACUGCCUUUGAUACUGGAAGCCUUGAGUAUGGUAGAGGUGAGUGGAAUUCCGAGUGUAGAGGUGAAAUUCGUAGAUAUUCGGAGGAACACCAGUGGCGAAGGCGGCUCACUGGACCAUUACUGACGCUGAGGUGCGAAAGCGUGGGGAGCAAACAGG